UCUAUCAGAAAAAAGAAAACCAUAUUGAUUCUAUAUCAACAAAAAUAAGCUUAGAUUCUUACUCAAUCCAAACAAGAUGAUGACCAGAAAGGUUCACAGGUACCAUAUCACAUAAUCCAGCAUAAGCCAUAUUUUCCUCAUAACAUAAAAAUUAAUAACCAAAUCCAGGUCAACCUCUAGAUACUGGUAAGAAAAUAAAUCUUCAAAAACCGGAAGUGCAUGUGUCUCGUUAACGACUCUACUGGAUACGAAACAAAGCCAUCUUCUCACAGGUCUUGCACGCUCAAACCUGCACAAGUGAACAAAAAGAAAUCAGCUGCAAUGCCCUUUUGUAUAUCAAACAUGGAAACUAUGACUGUUAAAAAAUGAUUUAACAUCUGAGAUGAACAAAAUUUUAUGUUGCUGUGGCAGCUAACCUGGAGGAAGAGAUUGCUUCAACUUGUCGGCCUUCUCGGAGUCAAAGACGCAAAGAGUGUAGAGGUACUUGGAGCAGCGAACCUUGAACUUCACCACAUCCUUGCUCCUCUUGAUCUUCACAGAGCGUGCAUCCUUCCUCCUAGCAGUGAGGAGGAAAUCCUUGAUCUCGUGGAUUUGCUUCGGCUGUGUACCACAACAAGGAGUUCCAAUCAACACGAAAUCCCU
RNAcentral lists this long non-coding RNA (642 nucleotides) under Eucalyptus grandis. Its description in RNAcentral is "long non-coding RNA (EGRA_LNC000019)". Lineage: Eukaryota; Viridiplantae; Streptophyta; Magnoliopsida; Myrtales; Myrtaceae. The record is from RNAcentral.